GCUGCUCUAUAUAUCUGUACUUUAAAAACAUACUCAAAUCAUGUGUGGGUCCUACUGGUAAAAAUAGCUGAUUGCACAGUGACAAUAAUGUUUAUACUAAGAAAGAAAGAUAAGCAGCUUUCGAUUUUGCAUUUGUACCAUCACAUGUCAAGUGUUGUGAUUGCUUGGCUGAUCGUAAGGUACUACUCAGAAGAGAUAUCCACGUUUGUCUCUAUGGUUAAUUGUACUGUGCAUGUAUUUAUGUAUAUCUAUUAUUUCUCGCAACAUUUGGAUCGCGUAUUCAAGCGAUCAUUAUGCCGGUCAAACCUUAUAUCACCAUUCUUCAGAUGGUGCAGUUCUUUGGUCUAAUGCUAUACGCGCUUCAAUUCUUAAUGCCAAAUUGUCAAGUGCCGAAUAGUUUUGGCAUUGGGCUUUUACUAAAUGUGACAAUAAAUUGGUACUUAUUCUAUAAAUUUUAUAAAAAUACGUACGUUUCAUCAAAAAUAAAGCAAUAA
This is a non-coding RNA of Nylanderia fulva, 494 nucleotides long. The record is from RefSeq and is a predicted model, not a curated record. Lineage: Eukaryota; Metazoa; Arthropoda; Insecta; Hymenoptera; Formicidae.